GUCGUUCAAGUCCAAAUGACCUACGCAGCGGCAGCACACAAUAUCCCCCCCAACAGUGGCGGCGGCGGCGGCCCAGAUCCCUCCCCUAAGCUGGGCGAGUAUGCAUGGUGGAGUUACCAUCUCUCCGAUGGCUCUAGAUCGUUGUAUCGCUGGAGACGCUGUUCGAGGCAGAUCAGAUCGGAGUUCGUCUGAUCUGAAUCUCCGGCAGCGGUCAGUUGUUCGCCUCCUCUCUCUCUCUCAGGCUCCAGGUCAGCUCGUGUGCUCCUCCCACCUCGGCGGCGGCAAGCCGGUUGCCAGCUCCUUCCCGACCGGUGAUGCGACGCCGUGCGAACCUACAAAUCUUCAACAUGAUCGGGUAGGUACUACUUUGGUAUAUGCAUAUACAGAAGCCACCUCAGAUUACGAGGAAAACAACAUCACUAGCAAUGUUGCAAAGGGAGGUACCAUGAAACAACCACGAAGCUUUUUACUUGUCCCAAGCACCUUUGGAUGUGCAACCACAGCAACAGGAUCGGUGACAUUAAGCAGGCCAGCAAGCAAGAAUAGUAUUCCCAGUUCCAACAAUAGCCACGACAAAUGCACUGGCUAUCAAAGUAUUAAAGCCGAUAAUAUACAUCCAUUUUAAUUGUAAUCUGAGGCACCUUGAGUGCAGUGCCAAGUAAAAAUGUCGGCAUUAGCACACCAGGACCAGCACUAUCAGGACAGAAUAUUGGUGUAUGGAAGUAAAGAAUACGCUGAUGUACCUAUGAUUCUGAUAAUCCCUUGUCUGAUGUUUUUUGCAAAAAAAAAAUUGUUUGCAGCACAAUCGAUCUAUAGUUCUGAAAAUCAAGAUUUCAGCGAUUCUACCUUAUUUGCAGAGAUUAAUUCCCCAAUGCUUCUCAUUGAUGAUUCCAGUACACCGAAAAAGAAACAAUCGUUCUCUCAAGUGGUACACACACUUUCGAAUAUUAUGCAAUAUAAGUUCUUACUUUUUUCCUUGUUAAAGUCCAUGAUUCAGUCAUGUUUGAUAGCACAGUAUACAUCCUUAUCAUGUGUCAUGUUAUUGCAAGCCAUAUAUAGGUGCCGAACUAGUACGAGAUAAAGUAAACAACCGAGAGAUUUCCAUGUCCAUGGUUAAAACUAUAAGGUCCCUGUUGUUUUCUAUAGCUGGUCACAGCCUGUAAAUACUCGCUAGAUAGGCAUUACAUGUGGUGAAUACCGAAUAGUAAUUGAAUUUAGGUUGGUUGAAAGUAUAUUUUUUGGUUGUGAUAGAAAAUGAGAUCUCAUAAGUGCAUAGCAUGUAUUUUUUACUAAAUAAUUUUUACUGCUAACCAUUCUGGCCCAGCAAAGAGAAAAGAUUGGUUAUGGAGAGAGAGUUGCAGUGGCCGUGGUUGGGUGGGUGUGAUCGUUGGUAUAACGAAACAAAGAUCACCUGCAGUGCACCAUUGUAAGUAGCAAAUCGUACCCAUGGUUGGUGCAACGGCGUGGAGCAGGCUGCAGGGUCGGGUGGUGCUGUGACGUGCGCAUCACAACAGAAGAAGCUUGAUGAGCAAAAAGUACUAGAACUGGAGGCAAAGGCUGGAGGCAAGCUAGCAAAGUUGAUGCAAUUUUUUUAAUGGCAAUGCUUCUUGAGCUAUGAUUAGUUUAGUCAUUCAUACUUAGUCUUACCCAUGAUGUACCCAAAAUUAUCCUCUCAAGAAAUGUAAUAUGUAUGUCUGUC
Molecule: RNA transcript, 1699 nt
Organism: Triticum aestivum (bread wheat)
Lineage: Eukaryota; Viridiplantae; Streptophyta; Magnoliopsida; Poales; Poaceae
Exons: 2
Source: RefSeq, a predicted model, not a curated record